UGGGGGAUAUUGCACAAUGGGCGAAAGCCUGAUGCAGCGACGCCGCGUGGGGGAUGAAGGCCUUCGGGUUGUAAACUUCUUUUGCUCUGAACAAGGCGCACCAUGGGGUGUGUUGAGUGUAGGGGUUGAUUAGCGCCGGCUAACUACGUGCCAGCAGCCGCGGUAAUACGUAGGGCGCGAGCGUUGUCCGGAAUUAUUGGGCGUAAAGGGCUUGUCGGUGGCUGGUUGCGUCUGUCGUGAAAGCUCAUGGCUUAACUGUGGGUUUGCGGUGGGUACGGGCUGGCUUGAGUGCAGUAGGGGAGGCUGGAAUUCCUGGUGUAGCGGUGGAAUGCGCAGAUAUCAGGAGGAAUACCGGUGGCGAAGGCGGGUCUCUGGGCUGUUACUGACACUGAGGAGCGAAAGCAUGGGGAGCGAACAGG
Molecule: ribosomal RNA, 419 nt
Filed under: bacterium
Lineage: Bacteria
Description: partial 16S ribosomal RNA
Rfam family: Bacterial small subunit ribosomal RNA
Source: RNAcentral